GGAGGGACUAGUCACAGGGAAACGACGCAAGUGAGGGACGCAAGGAAUCGAUUUAACCGAAGUGAGAAGGGCCCCAUUUAACCGAAGUGAGAAGGGCCCCGUGUCUCAAUUCAUGGCUUGCAUACUUCGAAGGGUGCAUUCGUAGACCGCUUACGUCACUUCCGCCGAAAGAAGGCUGUCCCAAUUUAAAAAAAGACGAGACUCCUCCGAAUGCGGCCCACGAAUGCAGCCUACUUUUCCCCAAUUUGAAGGAUACAUCUGAUGUACACUCCGCGGCCUACCAUAUCCCAGGGUGCAAUGCGCGCAGGGAAGAGGGAGUUUUUUUCAAAUGAAAUGGCUUCCGGUCUCCCCAGCAGAGUGGAUUUAAAAGCACCAGCGAGCGGAGGAAUCACUAAUAAAUGACAAUUCUGGAGAAAUGGAUCUGCUGGAGAAGGACCCCUAAUCUGAAAAGUGCACAGCGGAUCAUCAGGACAGAGCUCCAUCCACCUGGACCCCCCGAGGAGCUGGAAAAGGACCCCUAACCCCAGCGGAUCAUCAGGACAGAGCUCCAUCCACCUGGACCCCCCGAGGUGCUGGAGAAGGACCCCUAACCCCAGCGGAUCAUCAGGACAGAGCUGCCAUCCAGCUGGACCCCCCGAGGUGUUGGAGAAAGCAAAGCGGCGAUCAGGAACAUCCUCCACCCAGACCUCUGCUUACUGCCGUCCUACAGACUUGUGUCUUACUUUCAGAAUUUGAUUUUGUAUGUGUCCUUUCUUUUAAUAGAUAUCUAACGAUUAUGGCUUGAGUCUGUCUGAUUCCCCAAACAGCUGCUUCUAUAUACUUGCUGCACAUAUAAUACAAAUAAACAACUCCAUAAACACA
This is a long non-coding RNA of Gymnodraco acuticeps, 861 nucleotides long. RefSeq lists it as uncharacterized. The transcript has 2 exons. Lineage: Eukaryota; Metazoa; Chordata; Actinopteri; Perciformes; Bathydraconidae. The record is from RefSeq and is a predicted model, not a curated record.